CUAAUAAUCAAAAAUAUUGAAAAAAAAAUCAAUCAAAAACAGAAUUAACGUCGCAAGUCAAACGGCGCACGAGAUGCAUAUGGGAGGUCAUUAACCAAUUUCCUAAAUGUAGACCGGGGAGUAGCAAACAAGUCUAAAUCAGAACAAAAAUUAUUAAAAGAAAACAUGAGACGAGGGACCACGGAGUUAGAAAACGCAUUUGUAUUGGUACAAGGCACGUAGAAUACCGAUAAAUCACGGGAUGGUCGAACAGGAAUCCUAAACUGUAACUGAGAUAGAAUCGCGGAGCAGUCAACAGUGCCGUUACUCACUUUAUAAAGCAGCAUUAAAUCGUUACUAAUGCGCCUGGAAGAGAGUUGAGGGACUCCAAAUAUUAAGCAUCGCUGUGCGUAAUCACAGUAUGUCGAUCAAUGUAUAUAUGGUAUUGAGGGUUCCAAACAGAAGAUGCAUAGUUAAGGAUAGAAGAAACGAAGGCGAAGUAAAGAGAACGAAUACAGGAUAAGUUAGUAAAAGGACGGGAGACACGACAAAUAAAUCCGAACAUGCGAGAGGCCUUAUUAACAAUAAAAUCGAUAUGAGCUGAAAACGCAAGUUUAGAAUCAAAGAGAACCCCAAGAUCUCGAACACAAUCAGAUGGUAUAAGAGUAUUAGGGCCGAGGGAAUAAUCGAAAACAAUGGGAUAGCGUUUGCGUGUAAAUGUAAUUUUCGUGCAUUUAUCGUGAUUGAUGAAAAGAUUGUUGUUUACACAAUAAGCCUGUAAUCGGACCAAGUCCUCCUGCAAUUUUUCGCAGUCGUCAGGUGAACAAAUCGUGGUAAAUAUUUUGCUAUCGUCAGCGUAUAGCAGAAACUUGGAGUAAUGAAAACACGCAUGAAUGUCAUUGAUAUAUAGCAGAAACAACAACGGUCCCAAAUGACUGCCUUGCGCCACACCGGAAGUUAUCUCUUUGAAGGAAGAGCGAUAGCCAUUAAUGGUAACAGCUUGUGAUCUGCUAGAGA
RNAcentral lists this long non-coding RNA (996 nucleotides) under Onthophagus taurus. Its description in RNAcentral is "uncharacterized LOC111414780". Lineage: Eukaryota; Metazoa; Arthropoda; Insecta; Coleoptera; Scarabaeidae. The record is from RNAcentral.